This is an RNA transcript of Triticum aestivum (bread wheat), 1831 nucleotides long. RefSeq lists it as uncharacterized. The record is from RefSeq and is a predicted model, not a curated record. The transcript is spliced from 3 exons. Lineage: Eukaryota; Viridiplantae; Streptophyta; Magnoliopsida; Poales; Poaceae.
AAUUUCUGGUUCCUCUCACCCGGAAACCCUAAUCCCCAAAUCGCAACAUCCCGAGCAACGAGCAACGAUGGACCUUCGCCUCGCCGCCGCCUCCCGCAAAAUUGGCCGCCCCGACUACGUCCUCCUCUGCACAUAUGGGUGCAGCGACGCGGUGGACAUUAACAAGACCACAGCGUGCGUCUCGCUGAGCAAAAUGGGAUGCAUCAAGGUAACCAUCUCAAAACAAGAUCUGCCAUCGAUCUCCUACUUCCAUGUUACCUGUCCCGACCUCACAGAGAACCCCUUCACCCAAAGUCCUGAGAUCCUUUGGUCGUCGGAGAACUUCAUCCUCUUCCGUGUCCAUCUCGUGGGACCCGGCCCACCAGAGUUCUUCCUCUAUAUGGUCGAAGGCCCGGAGUUCAAGAGGCCGAUGCUUAGUCUGCUUCCUGACUUUGGCUCGUAUUGUGUUCGCGAGAUGCUAGAUCCAUACCUUGUAGGCGUCGUUCCCGACGAUGACGGCAAGAGCCAUUUCGUGACCGCUUUCAAAAGGAAGGAGUCAGCGGAUUGCGAACUCCACAUCUACAGGCUUGAAGGCAGUACCGGGACCUGGAGCAAAGAGCAUAUUUUCCCAGAUUUCCCCUCCUGGGCACGUUCAGGGGUUUUUCCAGAUAAGGUGGUUGCAUUAGGUCAAGAAGUGGGCUAUGUCGAUCUCUUGAAGGGGAUUCUUUUCUGCAAUGUGGUCAAAAAUCCGGUGAAGGCACAUUUCAUUCCAUUGCCGAACCUGCUACCCAACAACCAACACUACUUCUAUGAAGAAUUGCCAGGACAGGCAAUACGUGAUGUCACCUGCACUGAUAGUUAUAAAAUCAUGUGUGUUGAGCUGGAAGAUUUAUUCGGUUUCACAACCAGAAUCCCUGAUCCUGAUGUACUCCAUGAUUUUGAAGUUGAUCCAUCUAUGAAGGUGGUAAAGCACAUGCGUGUUGGUUGGAGGCUCGUGACAUGGUAUCGGGAGAUUUUUUGGGACCAUUGGCAAAAGGUGUGUAAGAUUCAUGUUGAUGAACUUGGAGAAGUCUCCUUGCCUCCUCAUGGUAGAACAGAACCCUUGCCACCCAAGAACCUGAAACCAUCUUCUAGAGCUAAAAAGUUGCCUCUGAGCGACCUGCAAACAGCUUGUCCGAUCCUCUGUGGCGAUUAUGUUUGCCUCCUCUCCAAGUGGGACUAUCGUGAUGAUGAGGCUUGGAUUGUCACUGUUGACAUGUGGAAGAAAGCAGUGAGAGGACUGGUGCGAGUUAAAGAUGGGAUAUCCAUGCGUCUCAAUCCAGCCUACAUAUCCUUUGUGAUGAAGAAUUAUCGCAAGGGUGAAUCAGAUGGACGUAGCUCUCUUGUGAAGGAUACUCCUUUUCACGGCAAACGUUGUCUGGUAUGUGCUGUUAUCCUUAUGUUCUUCUGCUGGUAUUUCCAUUCCUCCCUAUUCAGGUAUGAUUAUCUAAAUCUUGGUUUUGCAAUCGCUCCUGGAAAACACUAGUAGCAGUUUCCAGCCGAAGAGGAUACUGAGGGGUUCGACAAUGGAACAAAGAGAACGAUAUGGUUGAGUCGACCUCCAUAGGAUCGCCACCAAUAAGCUCAUGCAAUCCUUAUCAGUGAUGAUGCAAGUUUUGGACAAGGAUCUUCAUUCAUUUGAAGCACUGAUGAUGAUUUAAGUUAGAUGUGUGUCAGUUGUGCUUUAAAACCAUCAUGCUUAUUCUGCGUGUAAUGUUGUUUAAUGCAUAUUGAUCCUUCUAGUUGUGUAUCUAUGCCAUGUUAGCAUCGGAUAUGUCAGUAAUAUGAUUUAAAACCAUCGUACUUAUUCUAA